AGAGUUUGAUCAUGGCUCAGGACGAACGCUGGCGGCGUGCUUAAUACAUGCAAGUCGAGCGAGGUUACUGUUUCGGAUCCCUUCGGGGUGAAGAAGCUUUAACCUAGCGGCGGACGGGUGAGUAACGCGUGGGUAACCUACCCCAAAGUCCGGGAUAACAGCGGGAAACCGCUGCUAAUACCGGAUGUCUUUACCUUGGGGCAUCUUGAGGUAAAGAAAGGUAACGCUUUGGGAUGGGCCCGCGUCCCAUUAGCUAGUUGGUGAGGUAACGGCUCACCAAGGCGACGAUGGGUAGCCGGCCUGAGAGGGUGGACGGCCACACUGGGACUGAGACACGGCCCAGACUCCUACGGGAGGCAGCAGUAGGGAAUAUUGCGCAAUGGACGGAAGUCUGACGCAGCGACGCCGCGUGAGCGAUGAAGGUCUUCGGAUCGUAAAGCUCUGUCCUUGGGGAAGAAGGCGAAAGCUUGACGGUACCCAAGAAGAAAGCCCCGGCUAACUACGUGCCAGCAGCCGCGGUAAU
This 523-nucleotide ribosomal RNA is filed under the name uncultured bacterium. Its description in RNAcentral is "bacterial SSU rRNA". It matches the Rfam family "Bacterial small subunit ribosomal RNA", at positions 8 to 524 of the family's 1533-position model. The record is from RNAcentral.